This 253-nucleotide ribosomal RNA is filed under the name uncultured bacterium. Its description in RNAcentral is "partial 16S ribosomal RNA". It matches the Rfam family "Bacterial small subunit ribosomal RNA", at positions 524 to 776 of the family's 1533-position model. The record is from RNAcentral.
UACGGAGGGUGCGAGCGUUGUCCGGAAUCACUGGGCGUAAAGGGCGCGUAGGCGGCGCGGGCAGUCAACGGUGAAAGCUUGGGGCUCAACCCCGAGUCGGCCGUCGAUACUCCCGUGCUGGAGCACUGUAGAGGCAGGUGGAAUUCCGGGUGUAGCGGUGGAAUGCGUAGAGAUCCGGAAGAACACCGGUGGCGAAGGCGGCCUGCUGGGCAGUAGCUGACGCUGAGGCGCGACAGCGUGGGGAGCAAACAGG